This is a long non-coding RNA of Thamnophis elegans (Western terrestrial garter snake), 589 nucleotides long. RefSeq lists it as uncharacterized. The transcript has 2 exons. NCBI's taxonomy places the organism in Eukaryota, Metazoa, Chordata, Lepidosauria, Squamata, Natricidae. The record is from RefSeq and is a predicted model, not a curated record.
GCUCAUGGGAGGAGAGUGGUGCGCAGAGCGGCUUUUGUGCUCUUCCCAGGGUCGAAGCAGCAGCUGGAAGAGACAAACAGGAUGGCAAUAAGAGCACUCGGGACAACUGUAAAUAACAAGCAACGUUGAAAAGGGAAGGAAAUCAAGCCAGAAAUCAAAAUAUUUUCCAUUUCCUGCAGAAAACCAUACAAUUCUGAUCCUCCACCAGCGGCUGUUAGACAAAAAGAGAAAAUCAAGAAAGAAUAAGCAGAUUAUGCAGAAUUAAAGGAUACAUUACAUGAAAAAGUGAAGGGAGAUUUUUUUUCAUUCAGCAAAAGAGGGAAAUAUCUGGAAGUUAGUGGAGUGGAAAAGGUCAAUAUAAGCCACGUAGAACAGACAGGAAUGCAGGCCUCUCCCUGUGAGGAAGACGGCUUCAAUGAAAGCACGCUUAAACAAGGUAUUGUCCAUAUUGUUUACCUCUUCAAGGAUAUCAGUUGUGGAAAAACUCCAUAGAUUUGCCUAUUGUGGAAAAAGCACAGAUGGCAAAUCACAGUUGAUUAUGCACAAGAGGGGCCAGAAAGGAGAAAAACCACACAAAUUACCUGAAUGU